RNAcentral lists this ribosomal RNA (253 nucleotides) under uncultured bacterium. Its description in RNAcentral is "partial 16S ribosomal RNA". It matches the Rfam family "Bacterial small subunit ribosomal RNA", at positions 524 to 776 of the family's 1533-position model. The record is from RNAcentral.
UACAGAGGGUGCGAGCGUUAAUCGGAAUUACUGGGCGUAAAGGGCGCGUAGGCGGUUAUAUAAGUUGUAUGUGAAAUCCCUGGGCUUAACCUAGGAACUGCAUAUAAGACUGUAUGACUAGAGUGUGGUAGAGGGUAGUGGAAUUUCCGGUGUAGCGGUGAAAUGCGUAGAUAUCGGAAGGAACACCAGUGGCGAAGGCGGCUACCUGGACUGACACUGACGCUGAGGAGCGAAAGCGUGGGGAGCGAACAGG